GACGAACGCUGGCGGCGUGCUUAACACAUGCAAGUCGAACGGAAAGGCCCUGCUUUUGUGGGGUGCUCGAGUGGCGAACGGGUGAGUAACACGUGAGUAACCUGCCCUUGACUUUGGGAUAACUUCAGGAAACUGGGGCUAAUACCGGAUAGGAGCUCCUGCUGCAUGGUGGGGGUUGGAAAGUUUCGGCGGUUGGGGAUGGACUCGCGGCUUAUCAGCUUGUUGGUGGGGUAGUGGCUUACCAAGGCUUUGACGGGUAGCCGGCCUGAGAGGGUGACCGGCGACAAUGGGACUGAGAGACGGACCAGAAUGCAACGGGAGGCAGCAGGGGGGAAUAUUGCACAAUGGGAGGAAGCGUGAUGAAGCAACGCCGCGUGCGGGAUGACGGCCUUCGGGUUGUAAACCGCUUUCGCCUGUGACGAAGCGUGAGUGACGGUAAUGGGUAAAGAAGCACCGGCUAACUACGUG
Molecule: ribosomal RNA, 468 nt
Filed under: uncultured bacterium
Lineage: Bacteria
Description: partial 16S ribosomal RNA
Rfam family: Bacterial small subunit ribosomal RNA
Source: RNAcentral